Molecule: ribosomal RNA, 445 nt
Filed under: uncultured bacterium
Lineage: Bacteria
Description: partial 16S ribosomal RNA
Rfam family: Bacterial small subunit ribosomal RNA
Source: RNAcentral
GUGAGGAAUAUUGCGCAAUGGAGGCAACUCUGACGCAGCCAUGCCGCGUGCAGGAAGAAGGCGCUACGCGUUGUAAACUGCUUUUAACCGGGAAGAAACCCCAGGACGUGUCCUGGGUUGACGGUACCGGAGGAAUAAGCACCGGCUAACUUCGUGCCAGCAGCCGCGGUAAUACGAAGGGUGCAAGCGUUAUCCGGAUUCAUUGGGUUUAAAGGGUGCGUAGGCGGAGCGUUAAGUCAGUGGUGAAAUCCUGCAGCUUAACUGUAGACUUGCCAUUGCUACUGGCGCGCUUGAGUGCGCUUGAAGUGGGCGGAAUGUGCCGUGUAGCGGUGAAAUGCUUCGAUAUGGCACAGAACACCAAUUGCGAAGGCAGCUCACUAAGGCGAUACUGACGCUGAGGCACGAAAGCGUGGGGAUCGAACAGGAUUAGAAACCCGUGUAGUCC